GACAGAAGAGGCGCGUCUACCAGGCAGUCGGAUUGCGGAGCCCCAACUCCAAUGCCAUCUGAUCAGGGGGUAAGACGCCGAGGCGAGACCAGACCUUGGGGGGCUGGCUUGUCGGUCUGGGAGGUUGAAUCCUCCGGAUUGUCAUCUCAAUCGAGAUGGAGCGCUUCUGGA
Molecule: non-coding RNA, 171 nt
Filed under: uncultured Enterovibrio sp.
Lineage: Bacteria; Pseudomonadati; Pseudomonadota; Gammaproteobacteria; Vibrionales; Vibrionaceae
Description: Lysine riboswitch
Rfam family: Lysine riboswitch aptamer
About the family: Riboswitches are metabolite binding domains within certain messenger RNAs that serve as precision sensors for their corresponding targets. Allosteric rearrangement of mRNA structure is mediated by ligand binding, and this results in modulation of gene expression.
Source: RNAcentral